This 68-nucleotide transfer RNA is filed under the name Synalpheus microneptunus. RNAcentral describes it as "tRNA-Glu". It matches the Rfam family "tRNA". From Rfam's summary of the family: Transfer RNA (tRNA) molecules are approximately 80 nucleotides in length. Their secondary structure includes four short double-helical elements and three loops (D, anti-codon, and T loops). The record is from RNAcentral. Lineage: Eukaryota; Metazoa; Arthropoda; Malacostraca; Decapoda; Alpheidae.
GUUAUUAUAGUGUAAAACUAACACGCUACACUUUCACUGUAGAAAUAAAGAACUUUCUUUUAAGAAAC